Molecule: ribosomal RNA, 301 nt
Filed under: Klebsiella pneumoniae
Lineage: Bacteria; Pseudomonadati; Pseudomonadota; Gammaproteobacteria; Enterobacterales; Enterobacteriaceae
Description: partial 23S ribosomal RNA
Rfam family: Bacterial large subunit ribosomal RNA
Source: RNAcentral
UGGCUUAGAAGCAGCCAUCAUUUAAAGAAAGCGUAAUAGCUCACUGAUCGAGUCGUCCUGCGCGGAAGAUGUAACGGGGCUAAGCCAGUUACCGAAGCUGCGGAUUUGCAAUUUAUUGCAAGUGGUAGGAGAGCGUUCUGUAAGCCUGUGAAGGUGCCUGGUAACGGGUGCUGGAGGUAUCAGAAGUGCGAAUGCUGACAUGAGUAGCGUUAAAGGGGGUGAAAAGCCCCCUCGCCGUAAGCGCAAGGUUUCCUACGCAACGUUCAUCGGCGUAGGGUGAGUCGGCCCCUAAGGCGAGGCA